UACGUAGGGGGCAAGCGUUGUCCGGAAUCAUUGGGCGUAAAGAGCGUGUAGGCGGCUCGGUAAGUCCGCUGUGAAAGUCCAGGGCUCAACCCCGGAAUGCCGGUGGAAACUGUCGAGCUAGAGUCCGGAAGAGGCGAGUGGAAUUCCUGGUGUAGCGGUGAAAUGCGCAGAUAUCAGGAGGAACACCAAUGGCGAAGGCAGCUCGCUGGGACGGUACUGACGCUCAUGCACGAAAGCGUGGGGAGCAAACAGG
Molecule: ribosomal RNA, 253 nt
Filed under: uncultured bacterium
Lineage: Bacteria
Description: partial 16S ribosomal RNA
Rfam family: Bacterial small subunit ribosomal RNA
Source: RNAcentral